Molecule: ribosomal RNA, 795 nt
Filed under: Klebsiella aerogenes
Lineage: Bacteria; Pseudomonadati; Pseudomonadota; Gammaproteobacteria; Enterobacterales; Enterobacteriaceae
Description: bacterial SSU rRNA
Rfam family: Bacterial small subunit ribosomal RNA
Source: RNAcentral
ACUUAAAUUGAAGAGUUUGAUCAUGGCUCAGAUUGAACGCUGGCGGCAGGCCUAACACAUGCAAGUCGAGCGGUAACACAGAGAGCUUGCUCUCGGGUGACGAGCGGCGGACGGGUGAGUAAUGUCUGGGAAACUGCCUGAUGGAGGGGGAUAACUACUGGAAACGGUAGCUAAUACCGCAUAACGUCGCAAGACCAAAGUGGGGGACCUUCGGGCCUCAUGCCAUCAGAUGUGCCCAGAUGGGAUUAGCUAGUAGGUGGGGUAAUGGCUCACCUAGGCGACGAUCCCUAGCUGGUCUGAGAGGAUGACCAGCCACACUGGAACUGAGACACGGUCCAGACUCCUACGGGAGGCAGCAGUGGGGAAUAUUGCACAAUGGGCGCAAGCCUGAUGCAGCCAUGCCGCGUGUAUGAAGAAGGCCUUCGGGUUGUAAAGUACUUUCAGCGAGGAGGAAGGCAUUAAGGUUAAUAACCUUGGUGAUUGACGUUACUCGCAGAAGAAGCACCGGCUAACUCCGUGCCAGCAGCCGCGGUAAUACGGAGGGUGCAAGCGUUAAUCGGAAUUACUGGGCGUAAAGCGCACGCAGGCGGUCUGUCAAGUCGGAUGUGAAAUCCCCGGGCUCAACCUGGGAACUGCAUUCGAAACUGGCAGGCUAGAGUCUUGUAGAGGGGGGUAGAAUUCCAGGUGUAGCGGUGAAAUGCGUAGAGAUCUGGAGGAAUACCGGUGGCGAAGGCGGCCCCCUGGACAAAGACUGACGCUCAGGUGCGAAAGCGUGGGGAGCAAACAGGAUUAGAU